Molecule: non-coding RNA, 32 nt
Filed under: Mus musculus (house mouse)
Lineage: Eukaryota; Metazoa; Chordata; Mammalia; Rodentia; Muridae
Source: RNAcentral
UAAACAAAAACUCAAUGCCAAGUGAAGAAAAA